Small nuclear RNA from Pteronotus mesoamericanus, 165 nucleotides. RefSeq annotates it as U1 spliceosomal RNA. Lineage: Eukaryota; Metazoa; Chordata; Mammalia; Chiroptera; Mormoopidae. The transcript has a single exon. The record is from RefSeq and is a predicted model, not a curated record.
AUACUUAACUGGCAGGGGAGAUACCACAAUCUUGAAGGUGAUUUUCCCAGGGCGGGGCUUAUCCACUGCACUCCUGUAGGUGCUGACCCCUGCGAUUUCCCCAGAUGUGGGAAACUCGACUGCAUAAUUUGUGGUAGUGGGGGACUGCAUUCACACUCUCCCCUG